This is a long non-coding RNA of Lagopus muta (rock ptarmigan), 361 nucleotides long. RefSeq lists it as uncharacterized. The record is from RefSeq and is a predicted model, not a curated record. Lineage: Eukaryota; Metazoa; Chordata; Aves; Galliformes; Phasianidae. The transcript is spliced from 3 exons.
UGCUUAGGUCAACUUGGAUCUCCUUGGGUCUGCUUAGGUCUCCUUGGAUCUGUUUGGAUCUACGUAGGUCUCCUUGGGUCUGCUUAGGUUGACUUCCUUGGAUCUACGUAGGUCUCUUUGUCCUGCUUAGAUCUGCUUGGAUCUCUUUGGGUCUGCUUAGGUCCACUUGGAUCUGUUUGGAUCUACGUAGAUCUCCUUGGAUCCAUGUAGGUCUACUUGGGCCCGCAUAGGUCUGCUUGGAUCUGCGUUGGUCUUCUUGGAUCUACUUGGAUCUGUGUAGGUCUGCUUGGAUCUACUUGGAUCUGUGUAGGUUUACUUGGAUCUACUUGGAUCUGUGUAGGUCUGCUUGGAUCUACUUGGA